UACUUCCGCUGGCAGAUGGCGUUUAAAAUGAAGCCGCCUUAAGAAAACGAACAGCGACUCUAUAUUUUCGAGUUGCACAUCGUCGUAUACAGUGCUGCCAAUAACUUUGCAGGUGUUUAGGUGAAUCGUGCUUGGGUUAAAAACCUCUUGUUUUCGUCAGCGACAAUAUAUUCGGCGCUUUGUUUGGUCAUGCAGUAGUUGCCUCCACCCCCGGGCCCAAGGCGAAGCCAGGGGGAACCAGGCAACCGAGGCCAUCCCGCCUCCCCCACAGCCACCUCUGUACAAGGAGGCCCACAGAGGGGGGAUGGGCAGCGAGCCCCCCCCCAUUCCCACCCGCGACCCUUCCACUGAGGCAAGCAGGUCCAAGGCCAAAGGGCCCCAUCAACCGGGACGCCCCUCCCCACACCCCAAGGCCCUAAUGUAAUAUGGACUGCGUAUAUGACUAAAGUGCAAAAAACGGGCAAGCAGUCGAGGCACGGUCACCCCACUGCUGGCAGACGGCAGAGCACCAUCUGCCUUAACCCGCCUUCUUAGCCCUAGUGUCAUGUGGUAUAUAAUAUGCAAGUGAAAAUUGAGGGGCAGUCUCUCGGCACACCUCAGUCAACCGGGGUAUUCAGUGGCACCACAGGCAGCCCAGCAAGUCCCCCCCCCCCCCCCCCCCCCCCGCCAAGCACAGACCGAAAGAGUCCUACCCCAUCACGCCCAAUGGGACUCCAAGUAACAGCCAAGGACGGGACAACCCCAGACUCAUCUCGGCAAAUGGAGAGCCGAUCCAGCCAGGCAGGGUUACCCAGGCCCCCCCCAGGCAAGGCGGAGGCCCCUUCAACAAUACCCUCCAACACUGUGGCCCUCGGACACUGUGGGAACGCCAACGGCAGACACCGAACCCCCCCCUCCAUAUGUAUUAUGUGUUCAGUUUCACAGUGCCUCUUUUAGUAAACAUCUCAAACUGCAAGAACUAGCUUCAUGGAUGUUAAUUGGAGGAGCCUGUUAGCUAUCUGUCAAGCUAAAACCUGUGCUCUCACAUUAGGAAGGACAGAAUAGUGCGAGUAAAAGGCAUAAUUUUUUUUUAAUUCGUAAUUUUUUCCGUAAUUAAUUCAUUCAAAAUAUCGCAUUAAAGUACCUGCCCUAAAAUACUCCAUAAUACUAUACCCAGCUCCAUCUCAAUAUCUGAGCGUGUGUAUAUAGCCCUGUGUUUGUAUUUGUUAACAUAGAUAGUUGUGCUGAGUAUCCGGUUGUCGCGGGUGCCUUUAAAUAUGGUUGUACUCUCUUCUUGCCUGAUCCUCAUGUGUCUUGCCAUUGUGUAAUUAACCACCAUGUGUGUGCCUUGCUGUCCUCAGUGUAUCUUCCCUGUGUUUCCCUGUCAUUCAUGGCUUUUGUGUUAUUGUUGCUUGAUGUGGGGUCCCAUUAAGGAGUAACAUAAAAAACAACUUUGCGCCAGUCCAUCUCUCGUCAUUUUCAUUCGCUGCUACUGCGAUUCUUUGAUCUGCUUGGCGCUUCAAUACAGUACAUAAAAUAUUACUUGUUUCGCUGCUGCAUCUGUGUGUUGUUUUUGCAGUUUAUCAUAUACUUUGCUGAGUCUAUAUUUAUCAUUGAGAGAAAUGUUCCAUUAUAUUUUCUGUGCACGUAGCUAGCUAGAAGCAGACGGGUUACCGCAAGGCAAAGUAGGCUUAUCAAUGUAAAGUAAAAAAACAAUUUCCCAACCUAA
Molecule: long non-coding RNA, 1708 nt
Organism: Brienomyrus brachyistius
Lineage: Eukaryota; Metazoa; Chordata; Actinopteri; Osteoglossiformes; Mormyridae
Exons: 2
Source: RefSeq, a predicted model, not a curated record